RNAcentral lists this unclassified non-coding RNA (549 nucleotides) under Plectosphaerella pauciseptata. RNAcentral's name for it is "sequence contains 18S rRNA gene, ITS1, 5.8S rRNA gene, ITS2". The stretch from base 182 to 335 matches the Rfam family "5.8S ribosomal RNA". The record is from RNAcentral. Lineage: Eukaryota; Fungi; Ascomycota; Sordariomycetes; Glomerellales; Plectosphaerellaceae.
CGUAACAAGGUCUCCGUUGGUGAACCAGCGGAGGGAUCAUUACUGAGUACUACACUCUCUACCCUUUGUGAACUAUUAUACCUGUUGCUUCGGCGGCGCCCGCGAGGGUGCCCGCCGGUCUCAUCAGAAUCUCUGUUUUCGAACCCGACGAUACUUCUGAGUGUUCUUAGCGAACUAUCAAAACUUUUAACAACGGAUCUCUUGGCUCCAGCAUCGAUGAAGAACGCAGCGAAACGCGAUAUGUAAUGUGAAUUGCAGAAUUCAGUGAAUCAUCGAAUCUUUGAACGCACAUGGCGCCUUCCAGUAUCCUGGGAGGCAUGCCUGUCCGAGCGUCGUUUCAACCCUCGAGCCCCCGUGGCCCGGCGUUGGGGAUCUGCCACGGCAGGCCCCUAAAACCAGUGGCGGACCCGAAGGGCCCUCUCCUUUGCGCAGUAGCAUCAGCCUCGCAUCGGGAGUCCUCGGCGUCCUGCCUCUAAACCCCCUACAAGCCCGCCCCGGCGGCACCAAGGUUGACCUCGGAUCAGGUAGGAAUACCCGCUGAACUUAAGC